UGGGGAAUUUUGCACAAUGGGGGAAACCCUGAUGCAGCGACGCCGCGUGAUUUAGAAGGCCUUCUGGUUGUAAAAAUCUUUUGUAUGGGAAGAAAAUGACAGUACCAUACGAAUAAGGACCGGCUAAUUACGUGCCAGCAGCCGCGGUAAUACGUAAGGUCCGAGCGUUGUCCGGAAUCAUUGGGCGUAAAGGGUACGUAGGCGGAUAAGCAAGUUAGAAGUGAAAUCCUAUAGCUCAACUAUAGUAAGCUUUUAAAACUGCUCAUCUUGAGGUAUGGAAGGGAAAGUGGAAUUCCUAGUGUAGCGGUGAAAUGCGCAGAUAUUAGGAGGAAUACCGGUGGCGAAGGCGACUUUCUGGCCAUAUACUGACGCUGAGGUACGAAAGCGUGGGUAGCAAACAGG
This 402-nucleotide ribosomal RNA is filed under the name Verrucomicrobiota bacterium. RNAcentral describes it as "Verrucomicrobia bacterium partial 16S ribosomal RNA". It matches the Rfam family "Bacterial small subunit ribosomal RNA", at positions 355 to 776 of the family's 1533-position model. Lineage: Bacteria; Pseudomonadati; Verrucomicrobiota. The record is from RNAcentral.